RNAcentral lists this small RNA (681 nucleotides) under Pan troglodytes (chimpanzee). RNAcentral's name for it is "processed transcript". The record is from RNAcentral. Lineage: Eukaryota; Metazoa; Chordata; Mammalia; Primates; Hominidae.
GCCGGUUCAGCGCAGCCCGGAGUCGCCCAGGCCUGAACUCCUACCCAGGCUCUCUGGCACACCAGCCUUGUGUCAGGGUGGGCAGCAGCACAAGGGUGGCUGGGGCGGGGCAUGGCUAAAGGCCAGCAGGUCACCCAGUGGGUCAGAGGCCAUGAUCUGGAGGAGGCAACUUGGCAGCCCCAGGAGGACAUGCUGGGUCCAGGGUCUCCAGGAUGAGUGUCAGUACCUCCUUCAGCCGCAGCUGAUUGUCCGGCGUUUGCUGGACGUCGCUGUGCUGGUUCCUGGCCGGCCCUCAGAGCAAACCCUCUCCCCACACAAUCGCUCAGCCCUGUACAAGGUCUUUGUGCCCAGCUUCACUUACAGGGUUUCAGCACAGCUGGUGUGUGUGGGGGGCCGUGGGGUAUCUGCCUGCCCCCUGUCACUGCGUCUGCGUCCCAAAGCCCCACCCCUGCACAACUCAAGCUCUGUGGCCUGUGGAGGUGCCUCAGGAUGCCAGCUGGAGCUGGCACUGCCCCCCUGGGGGCACUGGGUCUACGUGCGUGUGGAAACGUCAUCCCGGGGCCCUGGUAGGACCAUCCGCUUCCAGCUGUGUGUGCGGUUGCAAGAGUGCCCACAGCCCGGCCUGCUCCGAGCCCUGGUCCCUGGAGCUGCCAUGAACAUGCCCCAGUCCCUGGGCAACCA